GCAAGUCGAACGGUAACAGGAACUAGCUUGCUAGUUUGCUGACGAGUGGCGCACGGGUGAGUAAUAGAUAGAUAAUGUGCCUCUUAGUCUGGGAUAGCCAUUGGAAACGAUGAUUAAUACUGGAUACUCCUUCUAACUCUAAUGUUAGUUGGGAAAGUUUUUCGCUAAGAGAUCAGUCUAUCUCCCAUCAGUUAGUUGGUAGGGUAAUGGCCUACCAAGGCAAUGACGCCUAACUGGUUUGAGAGGAUGAUC
Molecule: ribosomal RNA, 252 nt
Filed under: uncultured bacterium
Lineage: Bacteria
Description: partial 16S ribosomal RNA
Rfam family: Bacterial small subunit ribosomal RNA
Source: RNAcentral